This 630-nucleotide ribosomal RNA is filed under the name Tomentella cf. sublilacina. RNAcentral's name for it is "eukaryotic LSU rRNA". The stretch from base 209 to 363 matches the Rfam family "5.8S ribosomal RNA". The record is from RNAcentral. Lineage: Eukaryota; Fungi; Basidiomycota; Agaricomycetes; Thelephorales; Thelephoraceae.
GGAUCAUUACCGAAUUGUCAAACGGGUUGUUGCUGGUCCUCAAACGGGGACAUGUGCACGCUCUGUUUACACAUCCACUCACACCUGUGCACCCUCCGUAGUUCUAUGGUCUGGGGGACCCCGUCUUCCUGCCGUGGUUCUGCGUCUUUACACACACGCUGUAACAAAGUCUUAUGGAAUGUAUGCCGCGUCUAACGCAAUACAAUACAACUUUCAGCAACGGAUCUCUUGGCUCUCGCAUCGAUGAAGAACGCAGCGAAAUGCGAUAAGUAAUGUGAAUUGCAGAAUUCAGUGAAUCAUCGAAUCUUUGAACGCACCUUGCGCCCCUUGGCUAUUCCGAGGGGCAUGCCUGUUUGAGUAUCAUGAACACCUCAACUCUCAUGGUUUGCCAUGAUGAGCUUGGACUCUGGGGGUUUUGCUGGCCUGUGGUCGGCUCCCCUCAAAUGAAUCAGCCUCCCAGUGUUUGGUGGCAUCACGGGUGUGAUAAAUAUCUACGCUCAUGGUCGUCUGCCAGGUAACCUUUGGUGACAAAGGUUUGCUGGAGCUCAUAGAUGUCUCUUCUCAGUGAGGACAGCUUUUUGAACGUUCGAUCUCAAAUCAGGUAGGACUACCCGCUGAACUUAAGCAUAU